This 741-nucleotide long non-coding RNA is filed under the name Fukomys damarensis (Damara mole-rat). Its description in RNAcentral is "lncRNA (ENSFDAG00000025093.1)". Lineage: Eukaryota; Metazoa; Chordata; Mammalia; Rodentia; Bathyergidae. The record is from RNAcentral.
UAAUCGGAUUCACAGAUACCUUUAUUUCGCAGCACAGCCCAAACUGAGGCUUGACUGAAGGAUGAGGCAUCAUCUCCCAGCCAUGCGGACACAUAAAAUAACCUGUGGCAGUAAACAUGGAAGCUUUUGCCAACCUCAUGAUGUGCUAGAGAGCUUGAUUAAAGAUCCGGACAUGACUUACCGUAUGUGAUAUUUACGAGUAAAAAGCAGCUUCCCAGUAGGCCAGCUUGGAACCUGGACAGACUCAAUUCUGCGAGUAUUUGUUCCAAUCGAUGAUCUGGAAUUUAUCCGUGAAGAAGUUUAGCAAGUGUAAGUGGCCCCUUCAGGGGAGUGUUCAUCUGCAAGCAUGACUGUCAUUUCCUCUGAUGACAUGACAGCCAGUCUGUAUGCCCAGCCACGAUUCUCCAAAGAGGAAGUAAAACGAAUUGCAGUUCUUCUCUGGAGAAGAAGAGCCCACAGCUGGGAACUGCUCAUGAGACCCUGAGACACUAGCUGUGAGCUCACAUAUAGAAGUGUGACUACCAGGAGCUCAGGCCUCUUUAAAGACCUCAAGAAUAGAUCACAUCGAGAUGGAGACACCAGAGGACCCAGCUGUGCAUCUUCCAACCCAGGCAUUGUACAUAAACGCUGUCAGCUGUCUGGAGCCCAAGCGGCUCAUGCUGUGACCACAGCCAUUGCGGUCCCCAAAAGGAACUCCACUCAGCUGAGCCCAAGGAGCCCCGGAAAUGUGGCAGAUGGCAG